GCGCAGCAGGCGCGAAACUUUACAAUGUGCGAAAGCACGAUAAGGGAACUCUGAGUGCCUCCUAAGGAGGCUGUUCAGGUGUCUAAAAGCACCUGAAGGAAGGGCUGGGUAAGACCGGUGCCAGCCGCCGCGGUAACACCGGCAGCCCAAGUGGUAGCCACGUUUAUUGGGUCUAAAGCGUCCGUAGCCGGCUGGGUAAGUUCCUUGGGAAAUUUGGCUGCUUAACAGUCAAGCUUUCAGGGAAUACUGCCCGGCUUGGGACCGGGAGAGGUCAGAGGUACUCCAGGGGUAGGGGUGAAAUCCAUUAAUCCUUGGGGGACCACCGGUAGCGAAGGCGUCUGACCAGACCGGGUCCGACGGUGAGGGACGAAGGCUAGGGGCGCGAACCGGAUUAGAUA
RNAcentral lists this ribosomal RNA (398 nucleotides) under uncultured microorganism. RNAcentral describes it as "bacterial SSU rRNA". It matches the Rfam family "Archaeal small subunit ribosomal RNA", at positions 330 to 735 of the family's 1478-position model. The record is from RNAcentral.